AAUGGCUCAUUAAAUCAGUUAUAGUUUAUUUGAUAGUACCUUUACCUGGAUAACUGUGGUAAUUCUAGAGCUAAUACAUGCUAAAAACCCCGACUUCGGGAGGGGUGUAUUUAUUAGAUAAAAAACCAAUGCCCUUCGGGGCUCCUUGGUGAUUCAUAAUAACUUAACGAAUCGCAUGGCCUUGCGCCGGCGAUGGUUCAUUCAAAUUUCUGCCCUAUCAACUUUCGAUGGUAAGGUAGUGGCUUACCAUGGUUUCAACGGGUAACGGGGAAUUAGGGUUCUAUUCCGGAGAGGGAGCCUGAGAAACGGCUACCACAUCCAAGGAAGGCAGCAGGCGCGCAAAUUACCCAAUCCCAAUACGGGGAGGUAGUGACAAUAAAUACUGAUACGGGGCUCUUUUGGGUCUCGUAAUUGGAAUGAGUACAAUCUAAAUCCCUUAACG
RNAcentral lists this ribosomal RNA (442 nucleotides) under ascomycete sp. Pv12. RNAcentral's name for it is "SSU rRNA". It matches the Rfam family "Eukaryotic small subunit ribosomal RNA", at positions 92 to 539 of the family's 1831-position model. Lineage: Eukaryota; Fungi; Ascomycota. The record is from RNAcentral. RNAcentral also lists the same sequence under 1 other name.